AUUGAACGCUGGCGGCAUGCCUAACACAUGCAAGUCGAACGGCAGCACGGCAGUAGCAAUACUGUGGGUGGCGAGUGGCGGACGGGUGAGGAAUACGUCGGAAUCUGCCCAGUCGUGGGGGAUAACUAGCCGAAAGGUUAGCUAAUACCGCAUACGACCGAGAGGUGAAAGCGGGGGACCGCAAGGCCUCGCGCGAUUGGAUGAGCCGACGUCGGAUUAGCUAGUUGGUGGGUAAAGGCCCACCAAGGCGACGAUCCGUAGCUGGUCUGAGAGGAUGAUCAGCCACACUGGAACUGAGACACGGUCCAGACUCCUACGGGAGGCAGCAGUGGGGAAUAUUGGACAAUGGGCGCAAGCCUGAUCCAGCAAUGCCGCGUGUGUGAAGAAGGCCUCGGUU
This 397-nucleotide ribosomal RNA is filed under the name uncultured bacterium. RNAcentral describes it as "bacterial SSU rRNA". It matches the Rfam family "Bacterial small subunit ribosomal RNA", at positions 29 to 424 of the family's 1533-position model. The record is from RNAcentral.